AUGCCAUCUCUGCGAGCUCGCCAGUGUGCAGCCUCGCUCCAGAACACCUGCACGAUGGGGAAGGUGGGAGAGGCCCUGAGCGUCCUGCCACAGGGGGUCCUCGGGGAAGAGGACAGAGGUGGGGCCGAGGACUACCACCCUCCUCAGCGGCCCCUGACUGCUUCUCCCCCGGGCAACCCCGCUGGGAAGACGGCGGAUCCUGAUUCUAGGCUGAGAAGGCAGGCAGUGACGACGACUACCCCAGCGCACCAGCGCCGGAAGCCGCCCGGGCCUGCCGGAAGUGACGUCAUGCCGCGCCGGCCCCGCCCUCGAGCGUUGGUGCCCUCCGCGCGCCCGCGUUCUGUGCCAUCCGGGAUGGGCGUCUCGUUCCGAGCUCCUGACGGGGACGAGAAAUGGCACUGCGCUGGCCUCCGAGAGCGAGACGGAGAAGGACGCCCCAGAAGCCCUCAUUGCCCAUUUCCGGACACUGGACGCCAGAAAGACAAAGAUCACAGAGACCGCGUGCUCCCUGCCUUCUGCACGGUAAGCCAGCUGACUUCUUUGCCUUGUGAUUCUGACCAUUUCCUUUCCUCUUCUAGAUUGGAAAGCUGCUUUCCAUCAGUGCCAUGUUUUCCUAAAUGACCCAGCCCUGGGGAAAUUUUGUUCACUGAACCUGCUGCGUGGUCCCUUGCCCUGAAGAGCCGGGCUGUGGCUGUCAGCACUGCUGUCCUGCAGUGGCAGGAGGUGCACUUUCCAAGCGGGCUGCUCCCCUGGGAUGUGCCUGGGUCCGAAAGCUCUCUGGCCAGUAGCACCUUGUGGAUAAAAGUGAACCCCAGCAAGCUUUGCUUUGGUCUGGACUGGGUGGUGAACAGAAGGCAGAAGCUCCGAGAGGGGCGCGUGGUGGAAGGAAAGUCGUUCUUGUAGAAUGAAAGAAGGCAUGAGGAAGAAGUCUCGGGCAGGGAGCAGGGGCUGACGGUCUCUGCCACCUCGGGGAGCCUUGUCGGAGCUGCCGGGCCUCGCAGGGAGCGGCUCCUGGUCUCGGUGUCCCCCAGGCUCCGUAAGGCUGCGCCGUGUCACUUCCGGGAGGGAAGCAGGGAGCGCACAUCACAGCCCACGCUUCUGCUCCUCUGUGGAGGCUGCAGUCAGCCCACAGGAGGGGGAAGCGGAGGGUGUGAGCGUGGCUCUGCACUCACAGGGUGGUUGGUGCUCCCCGAGGGA
Molecule: long non-coding RNA, 1197 nt
Filed under: Fukomys damarensis (Damara mole-rat)
Lineage: Eukaryota; Metazoa; Chordata; Mammalia; Rodentia; Bathyergidae
Description: lncRNA (ENSFDAG00000024575.1)
Source: RNAcentral